UUUAAAUACCUCACCGUUUUCAAUGUGGACCGUUCGAUCACGCCUAAAGGGGAAACUGAUCUAGACCGUCCAAUUGGAGAUUGUGGGCUAUUUGAUCAAACCUAUUCAGAGAAUCGAUCUCAAUCGUUCAUGCGCGCGGGAGAGGUCUUGAACCAUUCGAUCGGCCCGACACGCAGAUCGCUUGUGUGGCUUUUUGCAUGGAACCGUGCCGGCAUGUCCGUCACGUGGCACACGAAGAUUCAUUGUGCUGCUGAAGUGGCCGUCCCAUGUGACCACUUUUUCUGUUUUUAUGAUUUGACCCAUAUUUUUCAAUUUUCCUUUCAAAUAUACUCUCCCUUUAUUUAUAGUUUGACC
Molecule: long non-coding RNA, 354 nt
Filed under: Carica papaya (papaya)
Lineage: Eukaryota; Viridiplantae; Streptophyta; Magnoliopsida; Brassicales; Caricaceae
Description: long non-coding RNA (CPAP_LNC008690)
Source: RNAcentral